RNAcentral lists this long non-coding RNA (642 nucleotides) under Nicotiana tabacum (common tobacco). RNAcentral's name for it is "long non-coding RNA (NTAB_LNC015607)". The record is from RNAcentral. Lineage: Eukaryota; Viridiplantae; Streptophyta; Magnoliopsida; Solanales; Solanaceae.
GAUCUUUUAUACAUAUCUCAUUAUAUAAGAUAAAUAAGGAGUUUAUCAAAUGAAUUCUCAAAAAACUCCUUUUAACUUGCGAAUCUAUAAGCCUUCAGCGGCAGCACUUGGUGCAGACUGGGGGAACCACCUCUAUGUUGCAGUCACAACAGGCUUUUUGGCAUGUGCUCGUGCAUGCUGCAAAUACAAAACCAAAAAAAAAUAUAAAAAAUAAAAUACAAUUAAAAGCAAAAAUGACAAUGUCAAAUAAGUAGCAAAUACAUACCAAAAGUAUUUUUAGAAAGUUUGAUCUUAAAACAUAUCGUGACAUUUCUAUGACUAUAGAAAAAUAUUAUUAAAGAUAAAACAAAAAGUUUAAAGUUAAUUUUUUUUAAAUAUAAAAAGAUUUAUUGUUUACAAAAAUCGACUUAAAAGAAAGAGCGCUAUACAAAAUGAAAAGGAAAUAGAAUUGUACGGAAGAUAAUAACAUCUAAUGCUCGCCCAUGCUGCAGACGGCUAACGACAAGCGGCUUUGGGGAAUUAGCUCCAGCUUCAACCUCCACACAAGUUAUAGAGGCCCACAGAACAAGAAUAGAGGCAAUUACUAAGAACUUUGCCAUGAUUUCACCAAUUUAAAAAUGAAAAACAACCAGGAAAUUGUAG